Molecule: ribosomal RNA, 276 nt
Filed under: Triticum aestivum (bread wheat)
Lineage: Eukaryota; Viridiplantae; Streptophyta; Magnoliopsida; Poales; Poaceae
Description: partial small subunit ribosomal RNA
Source: RNAcentral
AUGAAGAUUGCAGCUUUGGCGCUACUCCUAACACUCGCCUUUCUCGUGCUAGCAUCAAAUGCGGAUACGGAACCAACUUGUACGGUCAAAUACCUGAAGAAGUUUGGUGGGUAUUUGAUUGGUGGUUGUCAGGAAGAUUGUCACCGAAUCCUUACGUGCCCUGAGGACAAGGAAUGCAAUUUGGAGGCUGAUAUUGUUGGCAAGAGGUGCAGGUGCACAAUGUGCAUAUACUACUCCAAGGCUCCAAUAAAGGAAACUGUGAUGUUAAGUAGCUAA